Non-coding RNA from Caenorhabditis elegans, 357 nucleotides. Lineage: Eukaryota; Metazoa; Nematoda; Chromadorea; Rhabditida; Rhabditidae. The record is from Ensembl.
GUGUGUGCGUGAAGAGACACAGAGUUACCACGUUUGCAUAGAUAACUGAGAUCAGAGAGACGAAGUUUGCCUAUGUACCAACGAGUGGACCAGUUUUGACCAGCAAUUUGAGAAGAAUUUUGUGGGUUGAGACAGGGCGCUGCGCAACGCAACGCACCAACUCACUGCGAGAUAGACUCUUGAAACUCGGCGCCUUUCUUUUUCUCGUACGUGAAACUGGGAGCCGAAGGGGGAGAGAAUGUGUUUGAAUAGAGCAUCAAUGAAUAGAAGAAGGUCGUCAAAGACCGGUCGUUGGCUCGGCGCUCAGGGGUCAGGUUACUUGUGCUACAUGUUGAUGUUGCCACCACGUCAUAUCGG